GGAAGGAUCAUUAAUUAUGUUAAAGCGCCUUACCUCUUAGGGUUUCCUCUGGGGUAAGUGAUUGCUUCUACACUGUGAAAAUUUGGCUGAGAGACUCAGACUGGUCAUGGGUAGACCUAUCUGGGGUUUGAUCGAUGCCACUCCUGGUUUCAGGAGCACCCUUCAUAAUAAACCUAGAAAUUCAGUAUUAUAAAGUUUAAUAAAAAACAACUUUUAACAAUGGAUCUCUUGGUUCUCGCAUCGAUGAAGAACGUAGCAAAGUGCGAUAACUAGUGUGAAUUGCAUAUUCAGUGAAUCAUCGAGUCUUUGAACGCAGCUUGCACUCUAUGGUUUUUCUAUAGAGUACGCCUGCUUCAGUAUCAUCACAAACCCACACAUAACAUUUGUUUAUGUGGUAAUGGGUCGCAUCGCUGUUUUAUUACAGUGAGCACCUAAAAUGUGUGUGAUUUUCUGUCUGGCUUGCUAGGCAGGAAUAUUACGCUGGUCUCAGGAUCUUUUUCUUUGGUUCGCCCAGGAAGUAAAGUACAAGAGUAUAAUCCAGCAACUUUCAAACUAUGAUCUGAAGUCAGUGG
Molecule: ribosomal RNA, 572 nt
Filed under: Rhizopus arrhizus
Lineage: Eukaryota; Fungi; Mucoromycota; Mucoromycetes; Mucorales; Rhizopodaceae
Description: Rhizopus oryzae partial 18S ribosomal RNA
Rfam family: 5.8S ribosomal RNA (bases 209-362)
Source: RNAcentral